This 30-nucleotide non-coding RNA is filed under the name Homo sapiens (human). Lineage: Eukaryota; Metazoa; Chordata; Mammalia; Primates; Hominidae. The record is from RNAcentral.
UGGUAGGAAUGGAUGAUGAUGCUGCAGAGA